UGGGGAAUUUUGGACAAUGGGCGCAAGCCUGAUCCAGCCAUUCCGCGUGCAGGACGAAGGCCUUCGGGUUGUAAACUGCUUUUGUACGGAACGAAAAGGCUCUGGCUAAUACCUGGGGCUCAUGACGGUACCGUAAGAAUAAGCACCGGCUAACUACGUGCCAGCAGCCGCGGUAAUACGUAGGGUGCAAGCGUUAAUCGGAAUUACUGGGCGUAAAGCGUGCGCAGGCGGUUAUGUAAGACAGAGGUGAAAUCCCCGGGCUCAACCUGGGAACUGCCUAUGUGACUGCAUAGCUGGAGUACGGCAGAGGGGGAUGGAAUUCCGCGUGUAGCAGUGAAAUGCGUAGAUAUGCGGAGGAACACCGAUGGCGAAGGCAAUCCCCUGGGCCUGUACUGACGCUCAUGCACGAAAGCGUGGGGAGCAAACA
Molecule: ribosomal RNA, 427 nt
Filed under: uncultured bacterium
Lineage: Bacteria
Description: bacterial SSU rRNA
Rfam family: Bacterial small subunit ribosomal RNA
Source: RNAcentral